UUUGAAACUAAAUAAUCUCAAAACGAUUAAUUGAGUUACAUAUUGAAGUAAAUAUCUUUCAGUCCUAUUAAGUAUAAUUUUCAAUUGUUUUUCAUCAUAUUCAUUUUUCAAAUUAGACCGCUUUUCUUAAUUAAUAAUAGUAUCGAUUUACCGACCGUCCCCGAGGUCCCAAGUUCGAAUCCUAAUUGAUUUACAUUUUCAGCUAAAUUUAUUUCUGAAUAAAAGAAUUAGAAGCGGAUAGCGUGCUACCUAUUUCUAAAAAUAAAUAAAUAAAUAAAUAAUAGUAUCGAUUUAAUUUAAUUUUUUGCAAUUUGGUGAAUUAAAUUUCUUUUUUUUUUUUUUU
RNAcentral lists this long non-coding RNA (343 nucleotides) under Ananas comosus (pineapple). RNAcentral describes it as "long non-coding RNA (ACOM_LNC021724)". The record is from RNAcentral. Lineage: Eukaryota; Viridiplantae; Streptophyta; Magnoliopsida; Poales; Bromeliaceae.